UCGUAACAAGGUUUCCGUAGGUGAACCUGCGGAAGGAUCAUUACCGAGUGUAGGGUUCCUAGCGAGCCCAACCUCCCACCCGUGUUUACUGUACCUUAGUUGCUUCGGCGGGCCCGCCAUUCAUGGCCGCCGGGGGCUCUCAGCCCCGGGCCCGCGCCCGCCGGAGACACCACGAACUCUGUCUGAUCUAGUGAAGUCUGAGUUGAUUGUAUCGCAAUCAGUUAAAACUUUCAACAAUGGAUCUCUUGGUUCCGGCAUCGAUGAAGAACGCAGCGAAAUGCGAUAACUAGUGUGAAUUGCAGAAUUCCGUGAAUCAUCGAGUCUUUGAACGCACAUUGCGCCCCCUGGUAUUCCGGGGGGCAUGCCUGUCCGAGCGUCAUUGCUGCCCAUCAAGCACGGCUUGUGUGUUGGGUCGUCGUCCCCUCUCCGGGGGGGACGGGCCCCAAAGGCAGCGGCGGCACCGCGUCCGAUCCUCGAGCGUAUGGGGCUUUGUCACCCGCUCUGUAGGCCCGGCCGGCGCUUGCCGAACGCAAAUUAAUCUUUUUCCAGGUUGACCUCGGAUCAGGUAGGGAUACCCGCUGAACCUAAGCAUAUCA
RNAcentral lists this unclassified non-coding RNA (596 nucleotides) under Aspergillus flavus. RNAcentral's name for it is "sequence contains 18S rRNA gene, ITS1, 5.8S rRNA gene, ITS2, 28S rRNA gene". The stretch from base 226 to 379 matches the Rfam family "5.8S ribosomal RNA". Lineage: Eukaryota; Fungi; Ascomycota; Eurotiomycetes; Eurotiales; Aspergillaceae. The record is from RNAcentral.